CUCGCACCCCUCCGGUCGGCCCCGCCCCUCGGGUCUAGUACCGCCUCUUCCGCGUUCCCGGCAGAGCGGUUUGCAGGUGGGGUUGCGCGCGACUGGUCCUGCGGUGAGUCGGCUGAGGAUGGAGGCUAGACUGGAGCAAAGAAGAUCCCGGAAUGGGGACAUCGAUGAGGAGGCUGUUGGAAUAAUCCAGUUUAGGCUUAAACUGAGAACCAUUGACCUACUGUAGAAACUACCUGCUCUAGAUUUUCAUGCCAGAUAUGAAGUUGAGGCCGAUGGAGAACUGAAGAACGUCUGCUACGUACAGAGGCCAUUGAAAUACUUCCUAUGACUAGAAGGCAGCAACCCCCUGUCAAAAGCAUUAUUUUAUUUUGAAUUUCAAGUUUAUAGAGGAUUCGCUCUCCAAAAGUUGGGCAAACCUAUAGGAGAUGCAAUGACAGUUCUGAAGGCUACUUGUGAUCCCAGAAUCAGAACAGAGGAAGGAAGAAGAUGAGCCUGAAUCUAGAUCCUGUGCCUCUGAGAAUCUUACUGUCCCAGCCCUUUUUUGAAGCCUGUUGUGAAUCACCACCCUGUUGGCACCUUAGUGGGCUUCAUACUUCUUUUACUGUAGUUGAGUGAGACACUGUAAUCUGCAUAAUGCUGCCCAGCUUUACUAUAGAUGGGACUCUUGGGAAAAACCUGUGAAGUAUCUUAGCCCCUGAAAUCACGCUUACAGAUCGUCCUUUGAUUAAGCUGAUUUCACAGCUGGCUCCUUUCAUCCAUCAUGUGUUAAAUUUGACUACCUUCCGUUUGAGUGUUCCCUUUCCCUGACCUUGUCCCCUACAUAGUAAUGAUAUCAUCAAAAACCAAAUCACCCCACUAAUGGGUCUGGCAGAAUAAUAUAGCCUUGUACCUGAUAGAAGAAUUGCCAUGAAAUAAUGCGAUUGGGCUGGUUUGUAGUUCAUCCUACAUAAUGUGACAAAACACAAAAUAGAAAGCUAUCUCAGAGCAAGAAGAAGAAAGUUCCGAUUAAUAUAAUAAUAAUAAGGUAGUAAUAAUACCCCUGUAUUUAUGUCAGCUAGAGCAGUGCUGCCCAACCUUAUUGACCUCAUAGCACACGUAGAAAAUGAUAUUGUUCAACCUGAUGAGAAGAUCAGUAUCUCAUUCACAGCACAUCAGUAGGGAAGCUCUGUGCUAAGGUUUCUAAGUAAAAGCAUUCUUGCUGGGGCCUGGCUAACUCUGGCCACCCCCUUUUGCCUUUCAGCAUUAAUGUUUAAAUAUAUUAUUUCUGAGCCAGACUAUCUAGAUUUAAAUUCUAGCUCUGCCACUUACUAGCUAUGUGACCAUGGGCAUAUUACUUAAUCUCUUUGUA
Molecule: long non-coding RNA, 1348 nt
Organism: Pteropus alecto (black flying fox)
Lineage: Eukaryota; Metazoa; Chordata; Mammalia; Chiroptera; Pteropodidae
Exons: 4
Source: RefSeq, a predicted model, not a curated record